UUGGGACUAUUUGGUUUCCAAAGUUCUUUCAGAGCAUCUAGUUCUGCAACAAAAACAUCCUUUUGCUCCUGAAACUGGCUCAGACAGAACAUAAUGAACAAAGAACAAUGUCUGCUGGAUGGAGCAUUGGAGAAAAAGUUAAAUCAUCUGCUUCUGCUUUUGGAUUAUUUGAAAAUGAGUAACUGAUUCUCUAUCUCCAUGCUCAGCUGUUUGGAGGCUGAUGGAUUCCAACAAAUUCAGGACAUGCAUGAACUGCAAGGAUGGAAAUCGAGAGAAGCCCUAGGAAAAGAAGUUCCAGUGACAGACCCAAAGUAGGAUCCUGUUCAACGGGAGCUCCCAAGGCCUGACACUAUUACAGAGGCUAUGGAGCGCUCACAAAAAAGGACCUAUCAAGACUGCACUCCAGAAGACCCAACAAGCAGCUGAAAGAGUCUGAUGCAGAUAUUUGCACCCAACCAAUGGAUUGGUUUUUCCAAAUUUUAGAAGCUGCUGACACCUGUGGUUGAAUUAGAGAAAGACUGAAAGAAGCUGAGGGGAAAGUGACCCUGUAUGAGGACAAGAAAUAUUAACCUUGUCACCCGAGAUCUCUCAAACACUUGACCACCAACCAGGCAGCAUACACUAGCUGAUAUGAACACCCCCAACCCUCCGCCCCCCCCCCCCACACACACACAUAUACAGCAGAGGACUGCCAGAUCUGGGUUCAGUUACAGAAGAUGUACUUAACCCUCAAGAAACUGAAGGCCCCAGGAAGUUUAGAGGUCUGAUGGGGUCGGCGUGAGGGGUGGGGACAUCCUCAUGGAGACGGGGCAAGGAGGAGGUAUGGGAUGUGGAACAGUUGGAGUGUGAACUGGGUGGGGAAUACAAUCUGGAGUCUAAAACAAAAAAACAAACAAACAAAUAAAUAAACAAACAAAUAAA
Molecule: long non-coding RNA, 921 nt
Organism: Mus musculus (house mouse)
Lineage: Eukaryota; Metazoa; Chordata; Mammalia; Rodentia; Muridae
Product: predicted gene, 38777
Exons: 3
Source: RefSeq, a predicted model, not a curated record